UAACAAAUUGAAAGGCUCUUUAAUAGGUGGGAUUAGGCACCAAUCACACAAGAAGCCAAAAACCAUGACAAGGAUAGCCCAAUUGGCAACAAUUGUCACAAGCCUUGUGAUUGUGGCUGCUACUAGAACUUUUCUUGGUCUUUGUUCCUUGUAUAGUUAACCAAUCUGUUUGUUUGGAUGCUGCAUGCAAGAGAUCCUCAUUUCCCUUAAUUCACCAGCUCCUUCUCUCCCUCUCUCUCACUCUCAAAAAUAAAGGAAGGAGACUACUAAAGUGACUGAAAAAGCUCUUCCCUUCUUUGUCUAAGAAUCUUGAACGCGUAUUUUGUGCGAGGGAAGCUUAAGACUCUUUACACACCCCCCCACACCACCUCAUAAAGCAGAGCACUUUGGGCAAAGCAAGGAUUUUAUGGCUAUCAUCUCAUGAGUGUUUAAAGGUAGCCCCACUCAUAGUUACAUCCAAGAUGAGACCCAAACCCCGUAAUCCGUCUUCCCCCACAAUCGAAGCUUCCAUGCCUCGGUGCGCCGCUAUGCUCUGCCCGGCGGCCUCGACGACUUCCCCGCUCUCCUGCGAAACACAUUCACAGAAUGGUGGUUAGCCAUGGAACAGCAGCAGCCAACACUCCAUGCCAAUUCCUGAAUUCAGAUUUUGUUAUGAUGUGCGACGUUUUGCAUGCACAAGGCAAUCAAAUCAUCCUAUACUAUACUACCUUUCUUCACUUAAUCCAGGAUUUUUAAGGUUUUAGAAGUGGCUUGCAGAGAAUAAAUUUAUCUUGUUUGCAGUAUCCAAUUGCUUUUGUUGCAGCGAUUUGUGAGGAUAAGAAUGAUUAUGGAAUGUGGGUUGUGAUGAAUAAAGUGAAGAGAGACCGUCUUUUCUUUUUCUCUUCUUUUUAUUUUGAACUAGCAGGCUAGCAACAAAGCUAGGGACUCUGAAACUUGUAUGACCGGACCCACGAAGCCUCUAAAGUAGGUCCUUGACAACUAACAUGGCAGUCUUGCUCAGGGUCCCUGGAGCAGCGCAGAUAACAAAAAAAAAAGAAAAAGAAAAAGA
Molecule: long non-coding RNA, 1048 nt
Organism: Phoenix dactylifera (date palm)
Lineage: Eukaryota; Viridiplantae; Streptophyta; Magnoliopsida; Arecales; Arecaceae
Source: RefSeq, a predicted model, not a curated record